GGGCCCGCACAAGCAGCGGAGCAUGUGGUUUAAUUCGAAGCAACGCGAAGAACCUUACCUAGACUUGACAUCUCCUGCAUUACUCUUAAUCGAGGAAGUCCCUUCGGGGACAGGAUGACAGGUGGUGCAUGGUUGUCGUCAGCUCGUGUCGUGAGAUGUUGGGUUAAGUCCCGCAACGAGCGCAACCCUUAUUGUUAGUUGCCAUCAUUAAGUUGGGCACUCUAGCGAGACUGCCCGGGUUAACCGGGAGGAAGGUGGGGAUGACGUCAAAUCAUCAUGCCCCUUAUGUCUAGGGCUACACACGUGCUACAAUGGUCGGUACAAUAAGACGCAAGCCCGCGAGGGGGAGCAAAACUGGAAAACCGAUCUCAGUUCGGAUUGUAGGCUGAAACUCGCCUACAUGAAGCUGGAGUUGCUAGUAAUCGCGAAUCAGCAUGUCGCGGUGAAUACGUUCCCGGGCCUU
This 463-nucleotide ribosomal RNA is filed under the name uncultured bacterium. RNAcentral describes it as "bacterial SSU rRNA". It matches the Rfam family "Bacterial small subunit ribosomal RNA", at positions 917 to 1382 of the family's 1533-position model. The record is from RNAcentral.